GACGAACGCUGGCGGCGUGCUUAACACAUGCAAGUCGAACGGAAAGGCCCUGCUUUUGUGGGGUGCUCGAGUGGCGAACGGGUGAGUAACACGUGAGUAACCUGCCCUUGACUUUGGGAUAACUUCAGGAAACUGGGGCUAAUACCGGAUAGGAGCUCCUGCUGCAUGGUGGGGGUUGGAAAGUUUCGGCGGUUGGGGAUGGACUCGCGGCUUAUCAGCUUGUUGGUGGGGUAGUGGCUUACCAAGGCUUUGACGGGUAGCCGGCCUGAGGGGGUGACCGGCCACAUUGGGACUGAGAUACGGCCCAGACUCCUACGGGAGGCAGCAGUGGGGAAUAUUGCACAAUGGGCGGAAGACUGAUGCAGCAACGCUGCGUGCGGGAUGACGGCCUUCGGGUUGUAAACCGCUUUCGCCUGUGACGAAGCGUGAGUGACGGUAAUGGGUAAAGAAGCACCGGCUAACUACGUG
RNAcentral lists this ribosomal RNA (468 nucleotides) under uncultured bacterium. RNAcentral describes it as "partial 16S ribosomal RNA". It matches the Rfam family "Bacterial small subunit ribosomal RNA", at positions 28 to 507 of the family's 1533-position model. The record is from RNAcentral.